CACUGACUGAAGUCCUGUCCUGGCUCUUAGCUUCGGGGAUCCGCGACUAUCUGGGGACCGGCUUGCGUAAUGGAAUGUGAAGGUAAACUGCCUUCUCUGAAAAUUUGGGAAACCUGCAAGGAGCUCCUACAGCUGUCCAAACCAGAGCUUCCUCAAGAUGGCACCAGCACCCUCAGAGAAAGCAGCAAACCGGAAGAAAGCCAUUUGCUAGCCAAAAGGUAUGGGGGCUUCAUGAAAAGGUAUGGAGGCUUCAUGAAGAAAAUGGAUGAGCUUUAUCCCAUGGAGCCAGAAGAAGAGGCCAAUGGAAGUGAGAUCCUCGCCAAGCGGUAUGGGGGCUUCAUGAAGAAGGAUGCAGAGGAGGACGACUCGCUGGCCAAUUCCUCAGACCUGCUAAAAGAGCUUCUGGAAACAGGGGACAACCGAGAGCGUAGCCACCACCAGGAUGGCAGUGAUAAUGAGGAAGAAGUGAGCAAGAGAUAUGGGGGCUUCAUGAGAGGCUUAAAGAGAAGCCCCCAACUGGAAGAUGAAGCCAAAGAGCUGCAGAAGCGAUAUGGGGGCUUCAUGAGAAGAGUAGGUCGCCCAGAGUGGUGGAUGGACUACCAGAAA
Molecule: small RNA, 606 nt
Filed under: Pan troglodytes (chimpanzee)
Lineage: Eukaryota; Metazoa; Chordata; Mammalia; Primates; Hominidae
Description: processed transcript
Source: RNAcentral